GGGAACGUAUUCACCGCGGCAUGCUGAUCCGCGAUUACUAGCAACUCCGACUUCAUGUGGGCGGGUUGCAGCCCACAAUCCGAACUGGGACCACUUUUAUGAGAUUAGCUCCACCUUACGAUCUCGCUGCUCUCUGUAGUGGCCAUUGUAGCACGUGUGUAGCCCAGGUCAUAAGGGGCAUGAUGAUUUGACGUCGUCCCCACCUUCCUCCGGUUUGUCACCGGCAGUCUCAUUAGAGUGCCCAACUGAAUGUAGCAACUAAUGACAAGGGUUGCGCUCGUUGCGGGACUUAACCCAACAUCUCACGACACGAGCUGACGACAGCCAUGCAGCACCUGUGUUACGGCUCUCUUUCGAGCACUAAGCCAUCUCUGGCAAAUUCCGUACAUGUCAAAGGUGG
RNAcentral lists this ribosomal RNA (400 nucleotides) under uncultured Lactobacillus sp. RNAcentral describes it as "partial 16S ribosomal RNA". Lineage: Bacteria; Bacillati; Bacillota; Bacilli; Lactobacillales; Lactobacillaceae. The record is from RNAcentral.